Molecule: ribosomal RNA, 633 nt
Filed under: uncultured bacterium
Lineage: Bacteria
Description: bacterial SSU rRNA
Rfam family: Bacterial small subunit ribosomal RNA
Source: RNAcentral
GUCGAGCGGUAGAGAGGUGCUUGCACCUCUUGAGAGCGGCGGACGGGUGAGUAAAGCCUAGGAAUCUGCCUGGUAGUGGGGGAUAACGCUCGGAAACGGACGCUAAUACCGCAUACGUCCUACGGGAGAAAGCAGGGGACCUUCGGGCCUUGCGCUAUCAGAUGAGCCUAGGUCGGAUUAGCUAGUUGGUGAGGUAAUGGCUCACCAAGGCGACGAUCCGUAACUGGUCUGAGAGGAUGAUCAGUCACACUGGAACUGAGACACGGUCCAGACUCCUACGGGAGGCAGCAGUGGGGAAUAUUGGACAAUGGGCGAAAGCCUGAUCCAGCCAUGCCGCGUGUGUGAAGAAGGUCUUCGGAUUGUAAAGCACUUUAAGUUGGGAGGAAGGGCAUUAACCUAAUACGUUAGUGUUUUGACGUUACCGACAGAAUAAGCACCGGCUAACUCUGUGCCAGCAGCCGCGGUAAUACAGAGGGUGCAAGCGUUAAUCGGAAUUACUGGGCGUAAAGCGCGCGUAGGUGGUUCGUUAAGUUGGAUGUGAAAUCCCCGGGCUCAACCUGGGAACUGCAUUCAAAACUGUCGAGCUAGAGUAUGGUAGAGGGUGGUGGAAUUUCCUGUGUAGCGGUGAAAUGC